This is a non-coding RNA of Miniopterus natalensis, 2627 nucleotides long. The record is from RefSeq and is a predicted model, not a curated record. Lineage: Eukaryota; Metazoa; Chordata; Mammalia; Chiroptera; Miniopteridae.
CACAGGCCCCUCUACCCUCUUUGUGUGACCCCCGCCAGCUUCUGUGGGCUUUGGUUCCAAUGGCUCUUGACUGCAACCUUCCACCCAAGGCCACCUUUCAGCUACUGGAGCCACUUGCCCAGGCAGAGGGCUGAACGUGCCCGGGAGUCAGUUGGAGUGGUCCCCAGCCAGUGACUGACCGCAGGUGAAGUACAUAAGCCCAGCUCCCUUUCCUGGAGGCAGGACGAACUCCGAUGUAUAAUUCAUCAGGAGCUCCAGGUGGGACCAGGCUGGCCCUGGGCCUUCACCUGGGAUGGCAGCUUGUCCUGCUUUAACUACUCCCUCCCUCUAGCCUCUCCUGGGAGCACUUCCUUAAUAAGUCACUGAUAAGGUUAAAUUCUCAUUUCAAGGUUUGCUUCUGAGCCUGGCCUAUGACAGGUGCCGAGCAAGGGCUUGAGGGUCAAGACUGUGAAAAGGAACAGCACAUUUUUCUCUGUUUUUAUAAAAAGGCUCCUAACCUGUAGUGUUUGCCAGUUUCUAUGGUGUCAGUAUUUCCACCAUGUCCCAUUCAUGCCACCAACGUGAUGCCACCGAAGGUGGAGUCGUGAGAGAUGCACAGUCGGCUCCGUAGGCCAGUGCGAGCUGCAAGCACUGUCGCGGCAGGAAAUCCCUGGCGAGGACCAUCUCCGCUUCUCAAAGAGACAGCAAUAAAGGCAGCCUUUUGCCCGGAGCAGUGGACUUCUGAGGAUGCCCUGCCAGCAUCCCACGGAGGCGGCAUCGACGUUCCCGCCGGAGGUGGAAUCUGAGCUCCUGAGGAGGAAGCUGUGAACCGGACAUACCCGGGCCCCGGCCAGCAGAUUUAUACCUGGGACUUCCCUUGUGAUCGGCUGUCCUCUCAUCUCAGGGAUGGAACAGCUGUAGUGUUUGUCUAGACUCUCAGGGAAGAUCAACCUGCCACGGGCUGGACACACCCACCCACCUGCACGCCCGCACCCACUCUUUGGAAAGUCUCAUCUUGGUUUUCUUCCAGGGCAGUGUUAAAAUGGAUUGGAGGGAUGCAAAGCUCCCUCAGCAAAGCGAUCAACAGAGAACUGGCGCUCACAGCGAUUCUGAACAAGCACGCGGGCAAUGACAAUGAAUGUUCUGCAAGUCCCAAGGGUCCCACGUACCAGGUGACCAACCAUCUGUACAGUCGGGAGCUGACCAGGAAAACAAACACCAAGGCAUGUAUUUAUAACAGAGGGAAUGUAAUACAAGGAAUUUUUCACAUAGGUGAGGUGGAGGAGUCUGGAAGACAGAGUUCAGUGAAGUCACUCAGAGAUUAGGCAGAAAGCCGCUCCCACCGGAAGCUGGAGAAACAAAGGCGAGAGAGGGGGUGUUAUGGGGGCCCCACUGUGACCUGGAAUCAGGAAGGCCUAUGCAGUGAAAGCUGGAGCUCUGCAGGGAGGCAGGAGGAGAAACACCCUGGCUCCCCUGCCCUCCCUCCAGUCUCUCACCAGUGUCUCCCUUUGGCUCACUAGAGUUUGGAAAAUGCAGCCUCUUGGGUCAUCUUCUGUCAAGUGUCUGUUCAAAUAUUUUGCCCAUGUUUCCCCCACUCAUCGGGUUGUCUGCUUUCUAAGUGAGUUGGAAAAGUUUUUAUCUAUUUUAGAUGCAUGUUCUUUGUGAGGCAUAUGUAUUGUGAAUCUUAGAGUCUGUUGCUUGACUGGUUUUUUUUCUUAAUAGUGUCCUUUUGAAGAGCACAAGUUUGAAAUUGGACAAAAUUCUAUCAUUUCUUCCAGAAAUUUUAUAAUUUUAGCUUUUAUGCCCAGGCUUAUGAUCCAUUUUAAGCUUAUUUUUUUGUGCAUAGUGUGACCUCUAGGUCAAGAUUCUUUUAUGGAUUUCUACUUUCUCAGCACCAUUUGUUGGAAAGACUAUUCUUUACUUCCUUUCUUAUGCCUUUAUGACGUCUUAGUGAAAGUCAAUUGACCAUUAUGUGUAGGUCUGUUUCUGGACUCCAUAUGUUUAUUCUUACUCUUAUACCACCCUGUUUUAAUUAUUGUAGUUUUAUAGUAAGUCUUGAAAUCAAGUAAUGCAAUUCCUCCAACUUUAUUCUCCAUGUUCAAAAUUCUUUUGACAAUUUUAAGUCCUUUGCAUUUCCAUAUAAAUUUUAACAUCAGCAUGUCAAUUUCUAUAAAUACGCCCGUUGGGAGUUUUAUUGGGAUUGCAUUAAAUCUAUAGAUUAAUUUGGGGUGAAUUAACAUUGUAACAAUAGUGAGUCUUUCAACCUGUGAACAUGGUACAUUCCUUAAUUCAUUUCAUUUCUUUUGGAAGUUAUUCAUUUAUUUCAGCAGUUUUGUAGGUUUCAGUGUAGAGGUCUUACACAUAUUGAAACUUUUAUUCUUACAUAUUCUAUGAUUUUUCUGAUGCUAUUGUACAUUAAGUUAUUUUUAAAUGUAAAUUUCUGUUUCCUGCUAAUAGAAUUGAUUUUUGUAUAUUAAUUUUGUAUCUUGUGACUUUGAUAAAUGACUUAUUAGUUUUCUAAGUUGUUUUGUUGAUUUAUUAAGAUUUUUCUACCUAAGCAACAAUGUUAUCUGCAGAUAGAUACCAUUUUACUUCCUUUCUUAUGCCUUUAUUUAUUUUUAUUGCUUUAUUGCACUGGUUAGGAUCUC